AGGAAGUGGUGAGAUUCUUAGAUUAGUAUGUCUUUUUUUCAAUUUCUCUAAUCUCUAGAUCGCGAAUUUGUUCUUGUUUGUUCUCAUCUUGUUUAAACUGAUGUGAUCGUGCUAUCUUGUUUUGCGAUUUUGUGAGUUAGGGUUUCAAGUUUCCUGAAUCGUUCGUUGAAUCUACACGGAAGCGCUUGACUCAGCGUGAAACCGUCGUUGAGUGUGUGUUUAUGUGGAGAAGGCAUAACAACUGAAGACAAGUUUGAAUCUGUGAGCCGAACAGCUGAAGCAACAAAACAGAUAAGCUCUUUUUUACUUCCUUUUUUUUUUGUUUGUUUUUUUCCCAAUCCAAGAGAUGGUUUUUAUCAAAACAGAGAAGCUUUGUUUUGGUUUUUCAUCAAACCCCAAAAAAGGAUUAUAAGCAGACACUAAUCUAAUAGUGUGCUGACAGAUUCUCAUUUGGGGACAUUGUCCGGUUGCCUGAAGCCUUAGUAGACCCAUAGAAAAUUUUCAAUCAUGGUAGUGCAUGUCUAAAAGAGGGGGACAUUUUCCGGUUGGUGGUAGUGCAUGUCUAAAAGAUGGGAACAUUGUCCGGUUGAUGGUAGUGCAAAAAUGGAAAGUAUGACAUACUUUAGUUACCCACGGCUUACAUAAACAACAAGAAACGGCUUAAGAAAAGUCUUUAGACAGAGACUGAGAUGGUACCCACGGCUUAUUACUGUUGGAUGCAAAUGUCCAGUGGCUUUCAAAAUAGUCUUUAGACAAAAAAGACUAUGAAACGUUGGAUGGAUCAAAUGACCCACAGGUCCACAACUUACCAAAAAAAAAAGUCUUUGGACACACAAAGAGUAAGAAUGUUCGAUGGAUUAAACGACAAACAAAACAUCAUAAAGACUAUGAAUGUUUGGAUGGAUAAAACGACAAAAACAAAGAAUAUGAGUUACCCACGGCUUAUAAAGGCUUUAAACAAAGACCUUGACUUCUAUGAAGAGUCUUUAGACAAUAUCUACCCACGGCUUGUGAAAAAGUUUUUAGACAGGCACUUUGACGAAGACAUACUCUUCUCAAUAACAAAAAGCUUAAGAAAAGUCUUUAGACAGAGACUGAGAUGGUACCCACGGCUUAUUACUGUUAGAUGGAAAUGUACAGUGGCUUUCAAAAUAGUCUUUAGACAAAAAGACUAUGAAACAUUGGAUGGAUCAAACGACCCAUAAGUCAACAACUUACCAAGAAAAAAAAGUCUUUAGACACACAAAGAGUAAGAAUGUUUGGAUGGAUAAAACGACAAAAACAAAGAGUAUGAGUUACCCACGGCUUAUAAAGGCUUAUGAAAGUUUUUUUGACAUUGCUUGUUACACACGGCUUAUGAAAAAGUCUUUAGAACAAUUGAGUUAAGACAGCUUUAUGAAAACUCUUUAGACAAUACUACUGCCCACGGCAUUACAAAGGCUUUUGUAGACAAAGACUCAACUCAACUUGGACGAUACUACUAUUACCCACGGCUUAUAAAGGCUUUAAACAAAGACCUUGACUUCUAUGAAGAGUCCAUAACUUACCAAAAAAAAAAAUUCUUUAGACACACAAAGAGUAUGAGUUACCCACGGCUUAUAAAGGCUUUAAACAAAGACCUUGCCUUCUAUGCAGAGUCUUUAGAUAAUAUCUACCCACGGCUUAUGAAAAGUUUUUAGACAGAGACUUUGACUUGUUUGUUACACACGGCUUAUGAAAAAGUCUAUAGAACAAUUGAGUUAAAACAGCUUUUAUGAAGAGUAUUUAGAACAAUACUACUGCCCACGGCAUUACAAAGGCUUUUUUGGACAAAGACUCAACUCAACUUGGACAGUACUACUAUUACCCCCGGCUUAUAAAAGGUCUUAAAGAUAGAAACUAUAAACCCUUUAGACUUCUAAGUUUAUUGGAUGUGAAACGACUAACAGUGGAUGAAAAAAGUGACCACCAGUUUAAAGAGGUCUUAAGGAAAACCUAUUUUACUUGUUGGAUGGGAAACAAACUACCUGCAGCUUAGAAAAGUCUUAAAACAGAGACUAUGAACCAAAAACCAUAUCUACACAAGGCUUCAGAGAAAGACCAACGGCUUAAAAGACGAAUAAUAUGAAACAAAACAGACUCUUUAUGACAUAGACUACAUGUCAGUGUUUAGCUUGUUGGAUGGGAAAAAACGACCAACGGCUUAAA
Brassica napus (rape) is the source of this 2187-nucleotide long non-coding RNA. RefSeq lists it as uncharacterized. The record is from RefSeq and is a predicted model, not a curated record. The transcript is spliced from 2 exons. Lineage: Eukaryota; Viridiplantae; Streptophyta; Magnoliopsida; Brassicales; Brassicaceae.